Molecule: small nuclear RNA, 330 nt
Filed under: Neogale vison (American mink)
Lineage: Eukaryota; Metazoa; Chordata; Mammalia; Carnivora; Mustelidae
Description: Neovison vison (American mink) 7SK RNA (ENSNVIG00000001353.1)
Rfam family: 7SK RNA
About the family: 7SK was discovered as an abundant small nuclear RNA in the mid-70s but a possible function has only recently been suggested. Two independent studies have found that 7SK RNA binds the CDK9/cyclin T complex (known as elongation factor P-TEFb). P-TEFb activates transcription by phosphorylating the C-terminal domain of RNA polymerase II.
Source: Rfam by way of RNAcentral
AGAUGUGAGGGUGAUCUGGCAGUGACAUUGGUCACUCCAUUGGUCACUAGUAUCAGUUUGACUGAUCUGACUGACUAGGCUGGUGUCCCUCUUCCUUCAUCACUCCUUGUGCUUCCCUUUGGAAGCUACCCACUUGCUCAGUCGAGGAAGACGACUUUCCCCAUUAGAGGAGGAUUGUUCUUCAGGCAAGGGGAUAGGAGUGGCUGUGUUCCCCUGCUAGAACCUCCAGACAACUCUCAGGGUGCACCUGUAGGAGAACUUAGUAGUCCAGCUUCCAAGCCUCCACCCAUAUGCAAAUAAGGAGCUGCAGGUUGCAGUCUGCCUUUCUUU